CUACGGGAGGCAGCAGUGGGGAAUAUUGGACAAUGGGCGAAAGCCUGAUCCAGCCAUGCCGCGUGUGUGAAGAAGGCCUUCGGGUUGUAAAGCACUUUCAGUGGGGAAGAAAGCCUUGGGGCUAAUACCCUCGAGGAAGGACAUCACCCACAGAAGAAGCACCGGCUAACUCCGUGCCAGCAGCCGCGGUAAUACGGAGGGUGCGAGCGUUAAUCGGAAUUACUGGGCGUAAAGCGCGCGUAGGCGGUCUGAUAAGCCGGUUGUGAAAGCCCCGGGCUCAACCUGGGAACGGCAUCCGGAACUGUCAGGCUAGAGUGCAGGAGAGGAAGGUAGAAUUCCCGGUGUAGCGGUGAAAUGCGUAGAGAUCGGGAGGAAUACCAGUGGCGAAGGCGGCCUUCUGGGCUGACACUGACGCUGAGGUGCGAAAGCGUGGGUAGCAAACAGGAUUAGAUACCCCGGUAGUC
RNAcentral lists this ribosomal RNA (464 nucleotides) under Vreelandella stevensii. Its description in RNAcentral is "partial 16S ribosomal RNA". It matches the Rfam family "Bacterial small subunit ribosomal RNA", at positions 339 to 795 of the family's 1533-position model. Lineage: Bacteria; Pseudomonadati; Pseudomonadota; Gammaproteobacteria; Oceanospirillales; Halomonadaceae. The record is from RNAcentral.